RNAcentral lists this ribosomal RNA (429 nucleotides) under Chloroflexota bacterium. RNAcentral's name for it is "Chloroflexi bacterium partial 16S ribosomal RNA". It matches the Rfam family "Bacterial small subunit ribosomal RNA", at positions 355 to 776 of the family's 1533-position model. Lineage: Bacteria; Bacillati; Chloroflexota. The record is from RNAcentral.
UGGGGAAUAUUGCACAAUGGGCGCAAGCCUGAUGCAGCCAUGCCGCGUGUAUGAAGAAGGCCUUCGGGUUGUAAAGUACUUUCAGCGGGGAGGAAGGGAGUAAAGUUAAUACCUUUGCUCAUUGACGUUACCCGCAGAAGAAGCACCGGCUAACUCCGUGCCAGCAGCCGCGGUAAUACGGAGGGUGCAAGCGUUAAUCGGAAUUACUGGGCGUAAAGCGCACGCAGGCGGUUGAUUGAGUCAGAUGUGAAAUCCCCGGGCUUAACCUGGGAACUGCAUUCGAAACUGGCAGGCUAGAGUCUUGUAGAGGGGGGUAGAAUUCCAGGUGUAGCGGUGAAAUGCGUAGAGAUCUGGAGGAAUACCGGUGGCGAAGGCGGCCCCCUGGACAAAGACUGACGCUCAGGUGCGAAAGCGUGGGGAGCAAACAGG